AUACAGGUAAGCACAGGUGAAGGCAAUAACUGUGAUUACCAGAGGAGGACCUGUAGGAGGAGACGAAGCCAAAUCCCGACACCUGGAGAGGUUCCCUUCAACCAGGGAUCAAACAGAUGUCCAGAAGGUUUCAAAUGUGCUCUGGUAUCAGCCUGGUUCUUUCAGGCAAGGUGGGGCCUAUCCCUAGUCUUGUCCUCGCCCUCUUAUGGAGGGAACACAGGCCAACCUUUAAAGUUCAGCUGUCCUGAAGAACAGAGAACGUCCUGGACUACUGAUCAUCUUCACAGGCACACAGCAGGAAUCAAGAAAAACUUUGAAAUGCCUGCUAAUCAAAGUCACCAGAAGGAGACAGAAAUUCUGCAGAAUCAAGUCAGAAGGUGGAAUCCAUCUGUACAUCCAAUUUUCUUAAUCCACUGUAUCCCUUUCGGGUCACCAGACCCUAACCUGGCUACUUUAGGGCAAAGACAUGGCAGAAGGCUGAAGGUCAGAGGUCAGAGGGAGCUCUGAGUGCAGGUCAGUCUGCGCAGAU
This 529-nucleotide long non-coding RNA is filed under the name Oryzias sinensis (Chinese medaka). Its description in RNAcentral is "lncRNA (ENSOSIG00000022420.1)". The record is from RNAcentral. Lineage: Eukaryota; Metazoa; Chordata; Actinopteri; Beloniformes; Adrianichthyidae.